Molecule: ribosomal RNA, 424 nt
Filed under: Verrucomicrobiota bacterium
Lineage: Bacteria; Pseudomonadati; Verrucomicrobiota
Description: Verrucomicrobia bacterium partial 16S ribosomal RNA
Rfam family: Bacterial small subunit ribosomal RNA
Source: RNAcentral
UGAGGAAUAUUGGUCAAUGGGCGAGAGCCUGAACCAGCCAAGUAGCGUGCAGGAUGACGGCCCUAUGGGUUGUAAACUGCUUUUAUGUGGGGAUAAAGUGCGUGACGUGUCAUGCAUUGCAGGUACCAUAUGAAUAAGGACCGGCUAAUUCCGUGCCAGCAGCCUCGGUAAUACGGAAGGUUCGGGCGUUAUCCGGACUUAUUGGGCUUAAAGGGAGCGUAGGCCGUUUGGUAAGCGUGUUGUGAAAUGUAGGAGCUCAACUUCUAGAUUGCAGCGCGAACUGUCAGACUUGAGUGCGCACAACGUAGGCGGAAUUCAUGGUGUAGCGGUGAAAUGCAUAGAUAUCAUGAAGAUCUCCGAUUGCGAAGGCAGCUUACGGGAGCGCAACUGACGCUGAAGCUCGAAGGUGCGGGUAUCGAACAGG